Molecule: ribosomal RNA, 496 nt
Filed under: uncultured bacterium
Lineage: Bacteria
Description: partial 16S ribosomal RNA
Rfam family: Bacterial small subunit ribosomal RNA
Source: RNAcentral
GACGAACGCUGGCGGCGUGCCUAAUACAUGCAAGUUGAGCGCUGAAGGUUGGUACUUGUACCACCUGGAUGAGCAGCGAACGGGUGAGUAACGCGUGGGGAAUCUGCCUUUGAGCGGGGGACAACAUCUGGAAACGAAUGCUAAUACCGCAUAAAAACUUUAAACACAAGUUUUAAGUUUGAAAGAUGCAAUUGCAUCACUCAAAGAUGAUCCCGCGUUGUAUUAGCUAGUUGGUAAGGUAAAGGCCCACCAAGGCAAUGAUUCAUAGCCGACCUGAGAGGUUGUUCGGCCACAUUGGACCUGAGACACGCCCCAGACUCCUCCGGAGGCAGCAGUAAGGAAUCUUCGGCCAUGGACGAAAGUCUGACCGAGCCACGCCGCGUGGGUGAAGGAGGUUCUCGGAUCGUAAAACCCUGUUGGUAGGGAAGAACGAUGGUGGGAGUGGAAAGCUCAUAACGUGACGGUACCUACCCAGAAAGGGACGGCUAACUACGUG